RNAcentral lists this ribosomal RNA (253 nucleotides) under uncultured bacterium. RNAcentral's name for it is "partial 16S ribosomal RNA". It matches the Rfam family "Bacterial small subunit ribosomal RNA", at positions 524 to 776 of the family's 1533-position model. The record is from RNAcentral.
UACGUAGGGGGCAAGCGUUGUCCGGAUUUAUUGGGCGUAAAGAGCUCGUAGGUGGUUCGGUAAGUCGGGGGUGAAAGCCCACGGCCCAACCGUGGAAGUGCCUCCGAUACUGCGGGGCUCGAGGGAGGUAGGGGCAGCGGGAACUUCCGGUGGAGCGGUGAAAUGCGUUGAUAUCGGAAGGAACGCCGGUGGCGAAAGCGCGCUGCUGGACCUCUGCUGACGCUGAGGCGCGAAAGCUAGGGGAGCGAACGGG